AGGAUUAACGCUGGCGGCGUGCCUAACACAUGCAAGUCGAACGCGCUUUCGGGCUUCGGUGCGAGAGCGAGUGGCGGACGGGUGAGUAACACAUGGGUACCUGCCUUUCAGUGAGGGAUACCGGCGAGAAAUCGCCGACAAUACCGCAUGGGCUUGUGGGAACACAAGCAAAGUGGCGCAAGCCACGCUGGAAGAUGGGCCUGUGGCCGAUUAGCUAGUUGGGGGGUAACGGCCUCCCAAGGCGACGAUCGGUAGCUGGUCUGAGAGGACGAUCAGCCACACUGGGAUUGAGAACGGCCCAGACUCCUACGGGGGGCAGCAGUGAGGAAUUUUCCGCAAUGGACGAAAGUCUGACGGAGCAACGCCGCGUGCAGGAGGAAGGUUUUCGGAUCGUAAACUGCUUUUCUCGGGGACGAGCAAGGACGGUACCCGAGGAAGAAGCCCCGGCUAACUACGUGCCAGCAGCCGC
This 469-nucleotide ribosomal RNA is filed under the name uncultured bacterium. Its description in RNAcentral is "SSU rRNA". It matches the Rfam family "Bacterial small subunit ribosomal RNA", at positions 26 to 518 of the family's 1533-position model. The record is from RNAcentral.